This 4068-nucleotide ribosomal RNA is filed under the name Triticum aestivum (bread wheat). RNAcentral describes it as "partial small subunit ribosomal RNA". The record is from RNAcentral. Lineage: Eukaryota; Viridiplantae; Streptophyta; Magnoliopsida; Poales; Poaceae.
UAAAAAGGACUUAUUAUUGGCGCCACCGGUUCGGCUGCUGAGCCACGAAGAGGCGAGAGCUUACUAGCCGCCGCCGCCGCCUGCGUCGGCCGCCGCGCCCGCGCGCAGCCGGUGGGACGGGAGCCCGGGGAGGCACUUGGCGUGACUCUCGAGGCAGAGGACGACCAUGACACUGACGUUUUAAAUACAGAAGUUGCUGUACUAUAAGUUAAACCCCACCUUUGUACGAUCUAUGUGGUCUCGUACCAAAAGGAAUCCUCAAAUAAAGAGAGAGCAACGAAAUCAACCAUAUAGAAACAACGAUAACACCCUAAGUUAACCACGUAAUAUAAAAUCUGCGCCUAGGUAAUCGCGGACCAAUGGUUUAUAUGACCGAGGGUCGAAGUCGCCUAGUUAUUACCUGUGGAGUUAGUAGUAUCGUAGUUGUUAGAAUAGAUAACGAAAAGUACUUAAACCUGUACGAUAACGUCGACGUUCGCUCCCACAUGUCUACCUUAUACAACGUUAUAAGUACCGACAUGAAAAAGGACCCCGUAAUCAACGAGACUUGAUACUGGACGAACUCUUAGAUGGGGAGAAAAGUUACGAAGCCUAUAUAACGCGCCCUUAAACCGUAUUACAAUAUAAAACACGUCGUACGCACGACUACCGUAAUAAUGAAGGAAACCAGGAGACAGGAGAGAUGCACUCACCACUACCGGAAUAACAUUACCCUCAGAGUGUUAGUAGAAGAGACAGUUCCAGUAACAGACAAGUACUACAAUAGGACAGACACCUACCAGACUUGUAUUCUUCUUGACUGCUAACCUACUUUUACGACCGAGUUCCGUGACAUCUCUUUUGGUCAUCAGUACUCAAAGAACCACCAAGAGUCUCGAUACCACGAUGAUUAAGACCGUUUCCAAUAACACAGGGGUUGAGUACCUACCUACGUUCGUUCUUAGAGACCGUCUAUUUACUGUUCGAUAGAACGGGUCUACUUGACUAUCACAAACCCUUUAAAAGGACAUUACCGAGGCGCAUAAAAGGACCCUGACUGUUUCAUUCACUGUUCUUUGUUUGACUCCUGAACAUAACGAACUAACGUUUUCUGCAUCAAUUUGAUUUUUUUACACCUUUACCUACCGCCCCAUGUCUUCUACUACUGUCAUUGACAUGGACAAACCUCCUCCUCACGACGAACCAUGGACAAGAAUGGGGACCCAAAAGUACCUAUCUCUAGAGGAUGCGGUCCGGUAUAAGAAACCUCACAAAUGUCUUUCUUCCUUUAAAUAGCAGUAGUGUACGAUGUUUACUAUUGAAGCCAGGUUCAGGGACACCCCCUUGAAAACAAAUACAACCACUAGACAGUAGCUGUCGUUCAAGACAAUUCAAUAGGGGGAUGUCCGGGGCUACCCGUAAGAAGGAAGAAUAACGUCUACAAGGGAUAUAGAACCUUUUAACAAAUUCGACAAACGAAGUACACAGACGCCGUAACCGACGGCAAUUGACGGAUGGCCAUAUGAAAGAUCUACCCCUGCACUAAAACCUCUGACGGAAUGCGAUGCAACGAACCAAAUUGGCCUCUGUCGUCGCCCACUAAUAAUUCCAGACGGCGAAAGACACCUGGCAGGAUAGGUAGUAGUACAAGAGUUCCAAGAAUAUAAGGUACUGUCAUAUAAUACCGAUUACAUGUUGAGGCAUAGUACCCCAAGAGAGAUUUGAUAGGAACGUUCUUAAGUAAUUGUAUCAUGGUCAGUCGACAUACUCUCUAUAGUGUUUUGACCGGACGUUCUACGGAGCAAUACUUUGUUAACGUGAGACUGUAACUAUUUUCAACUAAGUUAUACCGGGGAACUUCAUCAUGUUCAUGAAGUGACGUAAGGUACACGUUUUAAAACCUAUUAAGGUGCCGAACAUCCUUAAAACCUCUAUUCCUUAUCUCACCCAUAUAAUCCUCGAGUCAGGUUAUGGGUAUUGACAGUUAGAAAUCAUCUCAUAUCCUAAAUCACGUUAAAUAACCUUUAUUUAUUUCACUCUGAUAAUGAUCGUGAGUUGUAAUUUCACUAUGUAUAACAACUAAGUCUUUCUAUUGAUAAUCUGGUUCAUUUAGACCAAAGGCAAGUAAGCCAGGUAACUUCUAUGUUUUGUCAAAACCCUUUUGUUUUCCUUAUGUGGUGUGAUCUGGGAUCCCCUUUGUCGGAAACGAAGUUGUACUGACCUCCUGCAAGGAGCAUUUUUAUAGUCUUUGCGCACAACUGCCGGCCUCGAAGUUAUCGAUUGGAAAAUCCGAUCGGUUUGUGAAGGAGACCGUCGAGGUCUAGGAGUUACCUCAACGAGGUUCACUCUCCUCUAAAAGCACCUCCCCCCGGUACGUUUUGUGAAUUUUGUGGGGAAGCGGAGGAGUAAACUCGUCAAGGUUUAGGUUUUGGUUUCUUUAGGGCCUUUUUUUCUCUCUGCUCUCCCAUGCUCGUUUCGUCGUCUUUGCUUACAACACACUGCGGCGCCGACGAGUCAAUCUACACCUACGGCAACGGUAAGCGCAUCGUAGGCAAGUGGUUCGACCACUCACGGAAGAAACGCACGGGCAACCCCAUUCCAAAAUACCAGUCCUGGCGCCACGGCCACGGCAACCACGAUAUAGACCCACCGCAGCCAAAGCUUGACUACUGCGACGUCGACGCGAACUCGUCGUCCAGAUCAACAGGCCUGCGACGGCGAUAAUUGGGACACUAGCAAUCUACGUAAUCAUAAGUCUUUUACGUCUGUGGGUUCUAAUUAGAGUUACUUGUUCACAACAUAGUUCUAAUCUGAACACACAAUGGAUUCUUUUCGCCUCUACCGAAAGGACCAGAACUGAACUUAAGUCCUACCUUAACACGUGGCUACUUCUUGUGUACUAAGCCGUCGAGUUACUAGACGUAGGUCAUCUACUUCAAAUAAGAAUUCGUGUAUAACUUCUAGUUUCGUUGACAAAAUUGUUGAUAUAUAUGGAGGUACGCAGAAGGUGAAAGUAGGAACGGUUGUUUACUUUCUGGGCGGAAGAGUUCGUUACCCUGGUAAAGUCCCAAGUGGACGUUUUUGUUAUUUUAAUAAUGUAGAGGUGGUAAUAUGUCUUCUGAUUCCCUUCGUAUCUUACUAGGCACGGCAGUUUAUCAAGGUACACAAAUGGAGUAUAGACACAGCUACAGAAAGUAGUUACCUCCAUCGUAACGGUAUGGACUCUAUUAAGUAGUAUUAAUAUAAAGUGUGUAUUUGUCCUCACUUAUAGUUUGCUAUUUUACGUUUCAAUUUGCGUUAUGCUAGAUCCUUCUACUGGUCGUCAUCACAAAAGAAUGUCGAAACGCCUAAACGUCAAUAACCGAUCCUUUACGCAGGAGGAACUAGGUUCCGCGUAGCAGCGGGGGUAAACCCAAAACCUCGGGACUACUCCACAACAGGUUUUAUAUACGUAAUUUUAGACUACGAAUUGUCUCUUCCUGUAGGUUUUGUCAUACUUCAAUCGUACGUGUUAGAUGGAGACCGUACUUCUACUGUGUCCCACUACGACACCGGCCCAGUUUGAGACACGAUAAACGCGGUGGAUCAAAGUACUGGCUUGCCCGUUUGAGCUAGUGUCGCUGAACGUAUGGGUUCGUUUACGGUUCUAUUCCUUGUAAGAAAAGGGCACGUAUACAACGCCGCUCUUAAAACGGGAGUUGAGGAGAUAGAGGCUUCGGAGGUCCUUGUUCGUGUGGUAGGCGUGGGACUCCCCAGAUGUGUUUCGUUCGUGGAGGUCUCGUAGUCACCAUCCAAGUACCUCCUUUUUUUUUUGACUACCCCUCGGGUAUGAGUUGUUGUGGCUGGAGAAACCGACGUCUUAAAAGUUCUAGUGUCCUUCCUUGGGUGAGGUCAUGUUCAAAGGAAAGGUAUCGUUGACUACGCACGUUCUCUCGGACCUUGUUCCCAGUUUGUUCUAUUUAGUCACUUGGGAUGUUAAGAUUCCAUCGUCACAUCGAAUCAUACAAUGACAAGCAUUAGAUCAAACAUAAUAAAUUAUUGAAGUGGAAAUUUUGUCUAUCUAUUCUUAGGCUGUCCGGUCAUAUAAAA